GAUGGUUAGCGGCGGACGGGUGAGUAACACGUAGGCAACCUGCCCUCAAGUUUGGGACAACUACCGGAAACGGUAGCUAAUACCGAAUAGUUGUUUUCUUCGCCUGAAGAAAACUGGAAAGACGGAGCAAUCUGUCACUUGGGGAUGGGCCUGCGGCGCAUUAGCUAGUUGGUGAGGUAACGGCUCACCAAGGCGACGAUGCGUAGCCGACCUGAGAGGGUGAUCGGCCACACUGGGACUGAGACACGGCCCAGACUCCUACGGGAGGCAGCAGUAGGGAAUCUUCCGCAAUGGGCGAAAGCCUGACGGAGCAAUGCCGCGUGAGUGAUGAAGGUUUUCGGAUCGUAAAGCUCUGUUGCCAGGGAAGAACGCUUGGGAGAGUAACUGCUCUCAAGGUGACGGUACCUGAGAAGAAAGCCCCGGCUAACUACGUGCCAGCAGCCGCGGUAAUACGUAGGGGGCAAGCGUUGUCCGGAAUUAUUGGGCGUAAAGCGCGCGCAGGCGGUCAUUUAAGUCUGGUGUUUAAUCCCGGGGCUCAACCCCGGAUCGCACUGGAAACUGGGUGACUUGAGUGCAGAAGAGGAGAGUGGAAUUCCACGUGUAGCGGUGAAAUGCGUAG
This 619-nucleotide ribosomal RNA is filed under the name Paenibacillus sp. I12B-00107. Its description in RNAcentral is "bacterial SSU rRNA". It matches the Rfam family "Bacterial small subunit ribosomal RNA", at positions 87 to 693 of the family's 1533-position model. The record is from RNAcentral. Lineage: Bacteria; Bacillati; Bacillota; Bacilli; Caryophanales; Paenibacillaceae.